This is a long non-coding RNA of Suricata suricatta (meerkat), 1256 nucleotides long. RefSeq lists it as uncharacterized. Lineage: Eukaryota; Metazoa; Chordata; Mammalia; Carnivora; Herpestidae. The record is from RefSeq and is a predicted model, not a curated record. The transcript is spliced from 3 exons.
CUUUUUUUCUUUCUUUUCCAGUAUCCAUUUCAUGCACAUGUAGCCACAGUUAUGUUUUUACAAAAAUAGGAUUGUCUGUCCACAGACAUUUUCCGAGCACGGGCCGCACGUGGUCCUCCUGGUCCACAGGCUUCUCCUCCUGCCUUAUCUCCUGAGGCACUGCAGGUGUGGGACAAGGUGGGCAAGGUGGGCACCAGGAUCACAGGGCUUUGUGGCCUCGCUGUUCAGAAACUGAGCUUUGGAGGGGGCAGAUCUGAGUCAAGUCACUGGCUGUGUGGCCAUCGUGUGUCCCUUGACAGCUCUGAGCCUUGGCUCUCCCAUCUGUUAAGUGGGACUCACACCUGUUCUCGAGGGACGGGCUUGAGAACUAACUGGGCAAAUGCAUGGAAAGUGUUAGACACGGGGCCAGCGUCCAACGAAGGCUCUGCUGUGCUCUCUGCAGGUGGCGGCGGGGGCGGGGGGCGAGCCGAGGGCAUUUCUCUUCCUCGCAUCCUCCAGUUGUAGGGCCGGAUCCAGGUCAUGGAAGACACCUGAUGACCGUUCAGUGAUUAAAAUCUUGCCUGUUUGGCUUGAGGUUAGAGCCUGGAAAACCUUUCACCACCCUGUGGUGUUUCCAGAAAACACAGAAUCUGGCCCCAGUCACCUUCCUUGCCACAGGUUGCAAGUGUGGGUGUGAUUCUCAACCGAAAAACCAACGCCGACUUCACAGCUGGAGACCACCAGCCAGUCUCCUCCUGGUGACAACCGCGACCCUCCAAGUUCCACCCCGGCUCCCCCAGCCUUGGCCUGAUGAAGUGCACCCCUGGAAGUCCUUGACCCCAAAGGAUGGUUGGCUAAUGGUGGACUUUUGCGGCCAGUGCCACAAGUCAGCUAUUCCCAGUCUUAUGCAAAGAGGCAGAGGCCUCCUGAAUGCAGUGCCGAAGAGGAGAGGAGCUGAGGACAGAGGUGGUGUUUUGGCCGAGCAGGUGCCUCUGGCUUCUAUUCUGUCCACAGGCUGGGGGCAGCUGUAAGCUCAGAGACGAGAAAUUCUGGCUCUGCGAACGUCAAGUGAAAACCGUGGAUGAGUCCUCCUUAAGCUUGUCUCAGAAGGCAGCUGCUGGUCUUGCGAAGGCCUGGUCGAGCUUUGAUACUCAGCUCCGGCCUGGAACUUUCCAGGGCUUUCCUGGAAGCUGCCAUAGGGCGAGGGUGGGGUUGCAGUGAAGGAAUGUGACCCAGUUGGGCACAUAUCUGAGCAGCCCCAGAUGGACCAGGGCUAA